AGUGUUGUUAUCCCCACAGAGGGAGGGUGCUGGAGUAUUUUAAACAGACUAGUCUCAGUGUUGUUAUCCCCACAGAGGGAGGGUGCUGGAGUAUUUUAAACAGACUAGUCUCAGUGUUGUUAUCCCCACAGAGGGAGGGUGCUGGAGUAUUUUAAACAGACUAGUCUCAGUGUUGUUAUCCUCACAGAGGGAGGGUGCUGGAGUAUUUUAAACAGACUAGUCUCAGUGUUGUUAUCCCCACAGAGGGAGGGUGCUGGAGUAUUUUAAACAGACUAGUCUCAGUGUUGUUAUCCUCACAGAGGGAGGGUGCUGGAGUAUUUUAAACAGACUAGUCUCAGUGUUGUUAUCCUCACAGAGGGAGGGUGCUGGAGUAUUUUUAAACAGAGGUGACAAUAAUGUUGACCCUUUUAUCUUCUUGCGAUUUUUAUUUAUUUAGAUGUUUUAUUUUUUUCAAAGUAUUUUGGCAAAAUUUGGACGUGACUUUAUAUACCUCUUGGUAAAGGUAGGCUAAGAGUGAUGGUAUGGCUCAGACCAUGUGGGGGUAAAGUACAGUAAUUGUGUCUGUGACUAGACCUACCUUCUGUAUGCUUAGUACCAGAUCAACAAGUUUGAAAGCCUAAAUGGUAAUUCACUGAGUUCACAUGUUAAAAAAUACAUAUUUUUAAUCAAAAUACACCUUUAGGUUUUAACUCCAACCCUGUUCCUGGAGAGAUACCUCUUUAGGUUUUAACUCCAACCCUGUUCCUGGAGAGAUACCCCUUUAGGUUUUAACUCCAACCCUGUUCCUGGAGAGCAACCAGGUCUCCGCUGCAACCUCAGUUUUAAUUGACCUGAUUCAUUUUUUCAUCAGCUAAUUAUUGUAGUCAGGUGCUCUACAUUAUUAGGAUUGGAGCUAAAACCUACAGGACAGUAGCUCUCCAGGAACAGGGUUGGAGUGAGAACCUACAGGACAGUAGCUCUUCAGGAACAGGGUUGGAGUGAGAACCUACAGGACAGUAGCUCUUCAGGAACAGGGUUGGAGUGAGA
Long non-coding RNA from Oncorhynchus tshawytscha (Chinook salmon), 1026 nucleotides. The record is from Ensembl. NCBI's taxonomy places the organism in Eukaryota, Metazoa, Chordata, Actinopteri, Salmoniformes, Salmonidae.